Hippocampus comes (tiger tail seahorse) is the source of this 1813-nucleotide long non-coding RNA. RefSeq lists it as uncharacterized. The transcript is spliced from 2 exons. Lineage: Eukaryota; Metazoa; Chordata; Actinopteri; Syngnathiformes; Syngnathidae. The record is from RefSeq and is a predicted model, not a curated record.
UCUCGGAGCGUUUGAGACGCUCGUUGCCUCACGUCUGAAGCAAGAGAGUACGGAAAGUUGUUAAAUAUGUAAGUGUACCUUAUCGCUGGCCUCUUUUGUUGUUAUCCUCCUACCCCGCUACAUUAGCCGGAAGAGGGCUUGUUAAAGUCUGUAACUGUCAUGGAAAGUGGACUCGGGACAGUUUCCAUGGAAACAAAACGCCAGUUUUGCUAUACCGGAAGUCGCGCCCAUAUAUCACGGAAAGACUCACGGGGGCCUAGGAAUAAGGUGCAUAGGUUAGAUUACAUCUCAAGAUUGUGCUUCCUUCCUCCUCCAGAAAGGAGACAUCAUCCACAUUAUCGAUAAGCCUCCCGUGGGCACAUGGACAGGAAAACUCCACCACAAGGUGGGCUCCUUUAAGUUCAUAUACAUCAAUCUCCUGCCCGACGAGAGCCCCCCUGUCAGGCGAAGACGUUGUGACAGCAAGACCAACAGAAACAAGUCCAAACCAUCCACCCUGGAGGAGGUGCUGGACUGCAUUGGGCUGAUGGAGUUGUCUUCCUUGCUGUCCAUGCAUGGAUUUCAGAACCUGGAAGACUUCACGGGUUUGAGGGAGUCUCAUCUCAAUGAACUGAACAUCACUGACCCGGAUCAACGCGCCAAGAUCCUGAGCGUUGCCGACCUGCUCCGAGACCGUAGGUUUUAGUGAUCCUCCUUAAUGUCUCUCUCUUCAACUCGUUUAACCAAAAUUAAAAGGAGACUUUUGCACAUUUUUCACAAUCUGAAUCAGUAGCUUUACGACAUCUAUCAUCAUUAUUAAAUCAGUUAAAAUUCACAAAUGAUAGAGUUGGAGCACACUUGAUAGUCAUUUCUCCUUCCCACUCUUGUUCAAAUCACCGCAUUUUGAGGGUCAUGCCUGUGCACAAAGCAAUGGCGUUGCGACAAAGGCAGCAGCUAUACUCAAUAUUGCCGACUUCAUCCUCAUACUUAGCCACUUCUCUGACCCCCCUCGCAACUAUUUUUCCAAAAAGCCACGGGCAGCAAAUUCAGCGCCUAUUCAGGAUGUUAUUGAUGACUCCGAGACUCCCUCCAAAGCAGGAGAUGUCUACUGACUGCAAAUGAAUGACGUGCUUUCACAAAGCCACUAAUGGCUAAUUUAAUGAUUUUGAAGCCUCAUUUUAUUUCCUUGGCAAUUCUUCUCUUCUCUCUGGUGUGUGAAGCUUUACAUGACAAAUUAGUUUUCAUUUGACAAGGAUUGUAAAGGUAUUAGAAGUCAAUUUUCCAUCAUAUCUUUAGAAAGUCUGCGCUGUCAGUCAGAAAGUCAUCUCGUAGUCCCUCUGACACAGGAAGUGUGCUUGUCGGGAAUCUGUUAUGCUACCAUCCCACUUCUUUGCCUCAGCCAUGUAACGACAAAUUUUUUACUGCUCUCUUAUGCAGCUUUACACUCACUCUCAUGUUCAAUCUUUUGUAAGACAUCUUGACAUUCGAGCUCAUCUCGCUUGCACACACGUUUUCAUUUCCUCCGCACUCAGUCUGCGGUAGCUGUGAAAUGAAAUGAAUUGCAGCAACUCUUUGCUACCCCCUAAAAAAAAAAAAAAAAAAAAAAAGCUGCAAAGAUUGAUCAAAUCCAGCAUGUUGUAAUAUUGCCAGAAAAAAGUCACAAUGUUCCCAGAACAGUUUACAACACAUUAAAGAACAAAUCUCGAACAAGGUAAAAUGUUAUAUUAUCAAAAUAGACUUGCAAAGUUACCAGAAAAGUCUUAAUGUCCUCAUAUUACUGGAAAAAUGUGAAAAAGUUACAAUGAUAAAGUCGUAAUAUUAGAACAAAAAAGUU